GAGCACGUUCGUCCUAAAUACGCCCCUGGCAACUCCUGAUACCUUUCUUUCAGUAAUAAAUAGUAGGAGGGACCAUAUUCAUAUAUGUUUAAUAUACAGAAUCUUUGUUUCAGCACGGAAAAAUCCUGGAACGGAAAAAAUUCAACAAAGGAUACAAAUUCUGUUUAAUAUGUCAGAAAUGCCAGCUUCCUUCAUCUUGGCUGUUGCCUACAAAUUAAACUACACAUUAGACAAAAUCAACCCAAGGAAUACCAUAUAGAAGCUGACUGAUACAAAAUAACAUCAUGUGCUCCUCAAUAGCUCAGACACCACUACACACUUAGCAUUCUGCAGAUGCUUCUUUGACCAAGCAUACCUCUCUGGAAAUAAAGAACUUCUUGGUUAGGAGCAUUUUAUCCUAUAGUAAUAAAGCUAAUUAUCGGGGAGGAAUCCGAAUUAGUGGGCUAGUUGAAUUUCAUAUAACGGAUGUCUAAAGCAAAAAAGAAAAAAGAAUAGCUAGAUUACGUAUAGAGGCACAAAUUACCAGCAAGAUCUGUGAAUUAAGUUAGGUCGAUCGGUAUUUGUAUAGAUCAAGAUGGGCUUAAGCUGUUGUGCUCUUAAUAGAAAAUGCACUCCAGAAAUAUAUUUGUCCACCAAUAAUCUCUCAAGAGUUAUAACAGUUGGACUGCAUUAGGUGCUACACAGUUUUGGGAAGCAUAACAGUAUUUAUUACACGUACUAUAUAGAAGGUAAAAUCUGAGGAAUUAAAGAACAAAUAGAUUUAGAAGUUCUCCUCAUAUCUAAAACAUGAAUAGAAAUAUAUAUAUAUAUAUAUAUAUAUUUCUAUUUGCUUCUGGCCAGGAUGGACCAAGAUUGCAAACAGGACCUACUGCAACUCAUCUCAAACUUUAUGUCACGUGAAAAAUAAAAGAAAAUAGCUAAUUCUUGAAGGUUCUGACGUGGAACAUGUUAAGACCGAAAAAAUCAUGUUUCACGUGGAAGCUAGUAAAACAACAUUCAAACGGCGAUAAAACAGACAAUAAAAGAGAAAUACCAAAAGAGACACAAAUAUUUAAUGUGGUUCGGUCAAUUGACAUACGUCCACAGAUGGAGAUGAGCAAUCCACUAUAUAAAAGAGAGUACAAAAUAUCGAGAAAACAACCUCACGAAGAAGCAAAUACAAGUAACACACUAACACUUGUCCCGUAAAGUUUUCCCCCUAAACAAGACUCUCAAACUCCAUAUGGCUACAUUGUGGAUGCUACUGAAUGAGAAUGACGUAUCCUCAAUUUAUAGAACUCCAAACAUUUUCCUACAAGAAAAGGGACUAGCCAAAUAUGGAAGAAUUAAUAUUUUUCUUCUAGGAAAAGAAAAACUCAAUUAUAGUAAAUAUGUUGUUAUUUCCUUAAUGAAAUAGGAAAAUCAAUUAUGGUAAGAAAAUCAGGAUAAACAACUAAGCGAACAAACAAAAAAUAUCUGGGCUAAAUUACCGCAUUAUAUAAUUGAUGGAAUGAUAAAUGAUCACUUAUUACUAAGAAAUUGAAUUUAAGUUAUAUGCAUGGAACGAACUUUUUACAUUAUAAGUGUAGUUUAACUUAUUAUAAUAUGUUACUUAUUAUUUAUUUUAGGUCUUCAACUAAUGCUAUUAAACAAAAUCACUUACAAUUACUUUUUAAAUAAUCUGAUUGUAUAAAUAUUUUUUAAUUGUUGACGCGUAGAAUCUAAAUUUGAAAUUGAAUUUAAUGAAAGUAGACAAGUAUAGUAUAUUAGAGAUCUCAGAAAAUAUUCUUUUCAAAAUUCACGUUAAACAUCUUAAUAGUAUUUCAUCAUCUCAAAAGACUUAUUUUUACUAAUUAUACAUUUUUUCCAUAUAAAAUCGCUACUGGAAUUAAAGCAAAUAAAACAAAACUUAAACACAUAUUAAUUAAAAGGACAUCAAUUUACUAACAAACUGCAUAUUCAUUAAGUAAAAUAUCCAGUUGCUAGGGAUUAAAAAAGAAAUUUAUCGAUAAAAAAUAAUUAUUUCACCUUUCGUGAUGCCUCACUAAUUGGUAUGGUUCUCUAUUUUCUCUUCAAUUUCUUUCUUUGUAUUAAAUGAAAUAGCAGCUACUACCACCUUCAAGCAGAUAAAGUCCAAGAGCUCCAUGUAGCACGGUGACCUCUCUUUCUUGCAAUUUUCUUCCAUUAUCAUGUUCUGUUCUUUUUUUUUUCUCGUAGAAAGAAAGAAAAAGAUUUGUAUUUGUGUAUGCAUAGAAAGAAAACAAAAUGAAAAAUCAGAGGCAUGAAAUUGAUCAUAUGAUCUAUCUUAACUUCACUAUCCCAUAGGUAUAAACUCAAAAAAUAAAGCCAGUAAAGAAGUAGGAGGGAUGUGUGAGAGCCACUAAUUUUAUAGGCUGCUGUAAUUAAAUUUAAAUACAGUUGAUAAAGCUAUGAGAAUUAAUGGGAAAGGAUCAUGGUAGCACAAAUAAGGAAAAUAAAGGAGUAGUUACUCUUAAACAUGUGAAACGGAACAAUAGUAAUAAUGAGGAAUUUUUGCAAAUAAAGGAGUAAUUACUCUUAAACAAUAGUAAUAAUGAGGAAUUUUAAAAAAAGAAGGAUAGUGAAAGCAAAUUGGAUAUUAAUAUUAAAUAAGGAAAGAAAUUAAUGAAACACAUUUAAGGAAGAGAUGAAUAGGGUAUCUUUAUUUUCUGUAAUAAUAUUUUUAAGGGAAACUAAGAGAAAAAUG
This 2704-nucleotide long non-coding RNA is filed under the name Nicotiana tabacum (common tobacco). RNAcentral's name for it is "long non-coding RNA (NTAB_LNC001568)". The record is from RNAcentral. Lineage: Eukaryota; Viridiplantae; Streptophyta; Magnoliopsida; Solanales; Solanaceae.